GCGUGAUUAGCUCAGCUGGGAGAGCACCUCCCUUACAAGGAGGGGGUCGGCGGUUCGAUCCCGUCAUCACCCACCA
Molecule: transfer RNA, 76 nt
Filed under: Escherichia coli
Lineage: Bacteria; Pseudomonadati; Pseudomonadota; Gammaproteobacteria; Enterobacterales; Enterobacteriaceae
Description: tRNA-Val
Rfam family: tRNA
About the family: Transfer RNA (tRNA) molecules are approximately 80 nucleotides in length.
Source: RNAcentral